AGGUUCGAGGUAGAGGAACAAUGAAGAGGUUAGAGGUAGGGGAAUGAUUAAGAGGUUAGAGGUAGAGGAAUGAUCAAGAGGUUAGAGGUAAAGGAACAAUCAAGAGGUUAGAGGUAGAGGAAUGAUCAAGAGGUUAGAGGUAGAGGAAUGAUCAAGAGGUUAGAGGUAGAGGAACAAUCAAGAGGUUAGAGGUAGAGGAAUGAUCAAGAGGUUACAUGUAGAGGAACAAUCAAGAGGUUAGAGGUAGAGGAACAAUCAAGAGGUUAGAGGUAGAGGAACAAUCAAGAGGUUAGAGGUAGAGGAAUGAUCAAGGGGUUAGAGGUAGAGGAAGGAUCAAGAGGUUAGAGGUAGAGAAACAAUGAAGAGGUUAGAGGUAGAGGAACAAUCAAGAGGUUAGAGGUAGAGGAAUGAUCAAGAGGUUAGAGGUAGAGGAAUGAUCAAGAGGUUAGAGGUAGAGGAAUGAUCAAGAGGUUAGAGGUAGAGGAAUGAUCAAGAGGUUAGAGGUAGAGGAACAAUCAAGAGUUUAGAGGUAGAGGAACAAUCAAGAGGUUAGAGGUAGAGGAACAAUCAAGAGGUUAGAGAUAGAGGAACAAUCAAGAUGUUAGAGGUAGAGGAACAAUCAAGAGUUAGAGGUAGAGGAGUGAUCAAGAGGUUAGAGGUAGAGGAAUGAUCAAGAGGUUAGAGGUAGAGGAACAAUCAAGAGGUUAGAGGUAGAGGAAUGAUCAAGAGGUUAGAGGUACAGGAACAAUCAAGAGGUUAGAGAUAGAGGAAUGAUCAAGAGGUUAGAGGUAGAGGAACAAUCAAGAGGUUAGAGGUAGAGGAAUGAUCAAGAGGUUAGAGGUAGAGGAAUGAUCAAGAGUUUAGAGGUAGAGGAACAAUCAAGAGGUUAGAGGUAGAGGAACAAUCAAGAGGUUAGAGGUAGAGGAACAAUGAAGAGGUUAGAGGUAGAGGAAUGAUCAGGAGGUUAGAGGUAGAGGAAUGAUCAAGAGGUUAGAGGUAGAGGAACAAUCAAGAGUUUAGAGGUAGAGGAAUGAUCAAGAGGUUAGAGGUAAAGGAAUGAUCAAGAGGUUAGAGGUAGAGGAAUGAUCAAGAGGUUAGAGGUAGAGGAGCAAUCAAGAGGUUAGAGGUAGAGGAAUGAUCAAGAGGUUAGAGGUAGAGGAACAAUCAAGAGUUUAGAGGUGGAGGAAUGAUCAGGAGGUUAGAGGUAGAGGAAUGAUCAAGAGGUUAGAGGUAGAGGAGCAAUCAAGAGGUUAGAGGUAGAGGAAUGAUCAAGAGGUUAGAGGUAGAGGAACAAUCAAGAGUUUAGAGGUAGAGGAAUGAUCAGGAGGUUAGAGGUAGAGGAAUGAUCAAGAGGUUAGAGGUAGAGGAGCAAUCAAGAGGUUAGAGGUAGAGGAACAAUCAAGAGGUUAGAGGUAGAGGAACAAUCAAGAGGUUAGAGGUAGAGGAAUGAUCAAGAGGUUAGAGGUAGAGGAGUGAUCAAGAGGUUAGAGGUAAAGGAACAAUCAAGAGGUUAGAGGUAGAGGAAUGAUCAAGAGGUUAGAGGUAGAGGAACAAUCAAAAGGUUAGAGGUAGAAGAACAAUCAAGAGGUUAGAGGUAGAGGAAUGAUCAAGAGGUAAGAGGUAGAGGAACAAUCAAGAGGUUAGAGGUAGAGGAACAAUCAAGAGGUUAGAGGUAGAGGAACAAUCAAGAGGUUAGAGGUAGAGGAACAAUCAAGAGGUUAGAGGUAGAGGAACGAUCAAGAGGUUAGUGGGAGAGGAAUAAUCAAGAGGUUAGAGGUAGAGGAAUGAUCAAGAGGUUAGAGGUAGAGGAAAGA
This is a long non-coding RNA of Eriocheir sinensis (Chinese mitten crab), 1814 nucleotides long. RefSeq lists it as uncharacterized. The record is from RefSeq and is a predicted model, not a curated record. Lineage: Eukaryota; Metazoa; Arthropoda; Malacostraca; Decapoda; Varunidae. The transcript has 3 exons.